RNAcentral lists this transfer RNA (82 nucleotides) under Echinostoma caproni. It matches the Rfam family "tRNA". From Rfam's summary of the family: Transfer RNA (tRNA) molecules are approximately 80 nucleotides in length. Their secondary structure includes four short double-helical elements and three loops (D, anti-codon, and T loops). The record is from Rfam by way of RNAcentral. Lineage: Eukaryota; Metazoa; Platyhelminthes; Trematoda; Plagiorchiida; Echinostomatidae.
GGCCUCGUAGCUCAGUUGAUAGAACGUGCGCGUAGAAAGCGUAGGCGGCGUCCACGCGUGGGUUCGAAUCCAACCGAGGCUA